UCAGAUGCACAGGACAUAGCCACAAUCGUAAGAUUGCGGAGGAAAGUCCGGACUGCGUGGGACAGCACACUGGUUAACGACCAGGCGGGGCGACCCGACGAUAAGAGGAACAGUAACGUAAGCGAUUAAAUUCGUUUGAAACGGCCAAUCUCUGUGUGCAGCAACUUCAAAUAGGCCUCCAAAAGAUUGUCCCAGUCUGGGGGCGGGUAGAGGGCUUGAUGCCCGAUGGUAACAUUGGGUACAGAUUAAUUAUGUCCACCACCCCACUGUGGUUUCGACUGUGGCGGGGCGGUACAGAAUCCGGCUUAUCGUGUAUCUGGGCCA
RNAcentral lists this RNase P RNA (324 nucleotides) under Alphaproteobacteria bacterium. RNAcentral's name for it is "RNase P RNA component class A". It matches the Rfam family "Bacterial RNase P class A". From Rfam's summary of the family: Ribonuclease P (RNase P) is a ubiquitous endoribonuclease, found in archaea, bacteria and eukarya as well as chloroplasts and mitochondria. Its best characterised activity is the generation of mature 5'-ends of tRNAs by cleaving the 5'-leader elements of precursor-tRNAs. Cellular RNase Ps are ribonucleoproteins. Lineage: Bacteria; Pseudomonadati; Pseudomonadota; Alphaproteobacteria. The record is from RNAcentral.